CCUACGGGUGGCAGCAGUGGGGAAUAUUGCGCAAUGGGCGAAAGCCUGACGCAGCGACGCCGCGUGAGGGAUGAAGGUCUUCGGAUCGUAAACCUCUGUCAGCAGGGAAGAACGGUCACUGUGCUAAUCAGCAGUGAAUUGACGGUACCUGCAAAGGAAGCACCGGCUAACUCCGUGCCAGCAGCCGCGGUAAUACGGAGGGUGCGAGCGUUAAUCGGAAUUACUGGGAGUAAAGCGCUCGUAGGCGGUAUGUCAAGGCAAGGGUGAAAUCCCCGCGCUCAACGGGGGAACUGCCUUUGAAACUGGCAAACUGGAGUGUGUGAGAGGAUAGGGGAAUUCCAGGUGUAGGAGUGAAAUGCGUAGAUAUCUGGAGGAACAUCAGUGGCGAAGGCGACUAUCUGGCACAUAACUGACGCUGAGGAGCGAAAGCGUGGGUAGCAAACAGGAUUAGAUACCCCAGUAGUC
Molecule: ribosomal RNA, 465 nt
Filed under: uncultured bacterium
Lineage: Bacteria
Description: partial 16S ribosomal RNA
Rfam family: Bacterial small subunit ribosomal RNA
Source: RNAcentral